This 540-nucleotide ribosomal RNA is filed under the name uncultured bacterium. Its description in RNAcentral is "bacterial SSU rRNA". It matches the Rfam family "Bacterial small subunit ribosomal RNA", at positions 347 to 905 of the family's 1533-position model. The record is from RNAcentral.
GGCAGCAGUGGGGAAUCUUAGACAAUGGGCGCAAGCCUGAUCUAGCCAUGCCGCGUGAGUGACGAAGGUCUUAGGAUCGUAAAGCUCUUUCGCCAGAGAUGAUAAUGACAGUAYCUGGUAAAGAAACCCCGGCUAACUCCGUGCCAGCAGCCGCGGUAAUACGGAGGGGGUUAGCGUUGUUCGGAAUUACUGGGCGUAAAGCGUACGUAGGCGGAUUGGAAAGUAGGGGGUGAAAUCCCAGGGCUCAACCCUGGAACUGCCUCCUAAACUAUCAGUCUAGAGUUCGAGAGAGGUGAGUGGAAUUCCAAGUGUAGAGGUGAAAUUCGUAGAUAUUUGGAGGAACACCAGUGGCGAAGGCGGCUCACUGGCUCGAUACUGACGCUGAGGUACGAAAGUGUGGGGAGCAAACAGGAUUAGAUACCCUGGUAGUCCACACCGUAAACGAUGAAUGCCAGUCGUCGGGGAGCUUGCUCUUCGGUGACACACCUAACGGAUUAAGCAUUCCGCCUGGGGAGUACGGUCGCAAGAUUAAAACUCAAA